This 2001-nucleotide long non-coding RNA is filed under the name Lathyrus oleraceus (garden pea). RNAcentral describes it as "Pisum sativum (pea) long non-coding RNA (PSAT_LNC028044)". The record is from RNAcentral. Lineage: Eukaryota; Viridiplantae; Streptophyta; Magnoliopsida; Fabales; Fabaceae.
GCAUACACAACAGUCAUCCAGCAAACAGGAUGCCAUGUUUUAUUUAGAAUUUCACAAUGCAUAAAGUGAUCCGAGCACGCAUGUUUAAUCAACUUCAUACUAUCAUUUUUCUACAUAAUUCAAAUUCGUCCAUUUGGGUGAUCGUCAUAUUUAUCAAACCAUUUCCAAUUAUUACCAAAACCCCGUCUCACCUUAGGUGCAUUAUUUCUCUUUACUCGAGUCUCCAAAAGAGCUACACAAGACACAUUCAAAGUUUUAAGAUGUGUCCCAAUCUCAAUAUGUCUUGCCUUUUUAUUUAGGUCCAUAAUGUUCCAAGUAAGAAUCAUGGAGGUAAAUAGUCUUCAUCCUCCUCACCUCCUAGAAUUUCAAAACCAUUUCUAUAGCCAACACCAAUGUUAUUUGAUGUCUCCAAUCUGUUAACAUCAGUUACUACUCAUUUGCCUUUUAUCUUGUUAGAUGUGAGUAUCUUGAUCCACUCUGGUUAUUUCUCUUCAAUCUCAAUGUUAGACUAUUUAUUUUCCUCUCUUAUUGGUUCUACUUGUAGCUGCACUUGAUUAGGUUUCAUAAUCCAUUAUUGUUUGAGUUGUCUUUCAUCUUUCUUCUUUUGUUUCACUAUACAAUCAAGCCCAACUUGGUUACAUUCUUAGAAAUAGCUUGGCUUCCAUUCAUACUUUACUGGUUGACUGAACUUGUUGCCCUAUGGAUCUCUAAUUGUGAUAUGUUCCUUCAAUUUCAUAGUAAUGUCAACCUCAAUAAGAACUCGUGCAUAUGAUACUAUUAGUUUCUUCGCAGUGCAUUCAUCCAUCAUCAUCAAUUUGCCAAUACCACUAGUUAUUUUCCCUAGACUUCGUUCUCCCCGGUAAAUGAGAGGUAGCUGAUGGAAGAUAACCCAAAUUGGAACCACUCUAACUGCAUCUUCUUUGAAGGUAAAGUCAAGUUUCUAUUCUUACAAGAAAAUGGGUUUACGAGAUAUUGUACUAUCCAUUACUUUGAUAUUUAAUAUAAGUUAUAAUUUAUAAAUAUUAAAAUAUAUUUUAAACUAAUAAUUUUAUCAAUUUAACAAAUAUAUAAUUUUUUAAAAUAUUAAAAGUAUUAGUUGUGGAUUUAAUUUAAUUUAAUUUAUUUUUUUGUGUUUUUACUUACAAAAUCAUUUGUAAUUUCUUUUACUCCAGAUAUUUGAUACGUCAAUAAUAAUAUUUUCAGAAAGAGAUAAAAUUGAAUUUUUAUUAAAUGCACAAAAAAGAUACACGGCAUAGCUUUAAAAUUUUCCUUUAACUAUAGCCCAAAUUUAAUUUGGCUCAACUAUAUCCAACUAAAAAAUGCUUUGGUCCAUCGUGAACUGCUUAGCCCAAAGUGACAGCUUUAACAAACAUAAACAUUUGGAAAUAAAAAAAAAGGAGUAGAAAUUCGUGAUAAUAAUAAUAAUACUAGUGCUAAAAAAAGGGUGAAAUCUUUAUAUCUAAAAAUAAAAUAUGUGUAAAUUAUUUUUAUUUUUGAAGUUAUUUAUUUAUUUAAACUAUCAAAGCAGCAUUUAUUAAUUUUUUAAUAUAAUCUUAUUUAUUAUAUUUUUAUUUAUCUAACUAUUUUGUUAACUAUUAUUAAUAAGAAUAUUUUUAUAAAUAAAAUAUCUUAUUAUUAUAUUAAAAUCAAAUAUAUUAAUUAUUAUAUUGAAAAUAUGAAAAACUAAAAAAGCACUGAAGUAAUUUUUGCACCUAUAAUAGUUACAAAAUAUGUGUGCUAAAUUGAUUAAAAAUGGCGUUUUUUAUUUGUUGAUUAAAAAUGAGAGAGUCUGAUCAAUUGGGUCUAGAAGAGUAGAGAUUUUCUUCAUUUUCUAAAAAACCAUAGAAUUUCAUUAGUAUAGUUUUUGAUAUAUAUAGUCAAAUCAAUGUUGAAUCUAUGUUCUAUGUCUUUAAAAUGUGUGCUAUUUAGACACAAAGAGUAUAGCAUAAGGGAAAAAGAAAAAGAAAAAAAGAAAAAAAGAAAAGAAAAGAAAAGAAAAUA